This 244-nucleotide ribosomal RNA is filed under the name uncultured bacterium. Its description in RNAcentral is "partial 16S ribosomal RNA". It matches the Rfam family "Bacterial small subunit ribosomal RNA", at positions 533 to 776 of the family's 1533-position model. The record is from RNAcentral.
UGCAAACGUUGCUCGGAAUUAUUGGGCGUAAAGCGCAUGUAGGCGGCACGGUAAGUUCGUUGUGAAAGCCCUUGGCUCAACCAAGGAAGUGCAACGAAAACUGCCGAGCUCGAGUUCUGAAGAGGGUCGCGGAAUGGCCAGUGUAGAGGUGAAAUUCGUAGAUAUUGGCUAGAACACCAGUGGCGAAGGCGGCGACCUGGGAAGAUACUGACGCUGAGAUGCGAAAGCGUGGGGAGCAAACAGG